This 754-nucleotide ribosomal RNA is filed under the name bacterium enrichment culture clone Ecwsrb070. RNAcentral's name for it is "bacterial SSU rRNA". It matches the Rfam family "Bacterial small subunit ribosomal RNA", at positions 8 to 751 of the family's 1533-position model. The record is from RNAcentral.
AGAGUUUGAUCCUGGCUCAGAUUGAACGCUGGCGGCAGGCCUAACACAUGCAAGUCGAACGGUAACAGGAAACAGCUUGCUGUUUCGCUGACGAGUGGCGGACGGGUGAGUAAUGUCUGGGAAACUGCCUGAUGGAGGGGGAUAACUACUGGAAACGGUAGCUAAUACCGCAUAACGUCGCAAGACCAAAGAGGGGGACCUUCGGGCCUCUUGCCAUCGGAUGUGCCCAGAUGGGAUUAGCUUGUUGGUGGGGUAACGGCUCACCAAGGCGACGAUCCCUAGCUGGUCUGAGAGGAUGACCAGCCACACUGGAACUGAGACACGGUCCAGACUCCUACGGGAGGCAGCAGUGGGGAAUAUUGCACAAUGGGCGCAAGCCUGAUGCAGCCAUGCCGCGUGUAUGAAGAAGGCCUUCGGGUUGUAAAGUACUUUCAGCGGGGAGGAAGGGAGUAAAGUUAAUACCUUUGCUCAUUGACGUUACCCGCAGAAGAAGCACCGGCUAACUCCGUGCCAGCAGCCGCGGUAAUACGGAGGGUGCAAGCGUUAAUCGGAAUUACUGGGCGUAAAGCGCACGCAGGCGGUUUGUUAAGUCAGAUGUGAAAUCCCCGGGCUCAACCUGGGAACUGCAUCUGAUACUGGCAAGCUUGAGUCUCGUAGAGGGGGGUAGAAUUCCAGGUGUAGCGGUGAAAUGCGUAGAGAUCUGGAGGAAUACCGGUGGCGAAGGCGGCCCCCUGGACGAAGACUGACGCUCAGG